Long non-coding RNA from Etheostoma cragini (Arkansas darter), 80 nucleotides. RefSeq lists it as uncharacterized. The transcript has 3 exons. NCBI's taxonomy places the organism in Eukaryota, Metazoa, Chordata, Actinopteri, Perciformes, Percidae. The record is from RefSeq and is a predicted model, not a curated record.
AUUAAAAAUGUGGCAAGCAGGGCGCCCAGAUGGCUUGGUCGGUAGAGCGGGCGCCCUUGUGUAGAGGUUUACUCCUCGAC